AGAGUUUGAUCAUGGCUCAGAAUGAACGCUGGCGGCAGGCCUAACACAUGCAAGUCGAACGAGGUAGCAAUACCUAGUGGCGGACGGGUGAGUAACACGUGGGAACGUACCCUUUGCUACGGAAUAGCCCUGGGAAACUGGGAGUAAUACCGUAUGAGCCCGAGAGGGGAAAGAUUUAUCGGCAAAGGAUCGGCCCGCGUUGGAUUAGGUAGUUGGUGGGGUAAUGGCCUACCAAGCCGACGAUCCAUAGCUGGUUUGAGAGGAUGAUCAGCCACACUGGGACUGAGACACGGCCCAGACUCCUACGGGAGGCAGCAGUGGGGAAUCUUAGACAAUGGGGGAAACCCUGAUCUAGCCAUGCCGCGUGAUCGAUGAAGGCCUUAGGGUUGUAAAGAUCUUUCAGGUGGGAAGAUAACGACUGUACCACCAGAAGAAGCCCCGGCUAACUCCGUG
RNAcentral lists this ribosomal RNA (453 nucleotides) under uncultured bacterium. RNAcentral describes it as "bacterial SSU rRNA". It matches the Rfam family "Bacterial small subunit ribosomal RNA", at positions 8 to 507 of the family's 1533-position model. The record is from RNAcentral.